This is a long non-coding RNA of Suricata suricatta (meerkat), 2051 nucleotides long. NCBI's taxonomy places the organism in Eukaryota, Metazoa, Chordata, Mammalia, Carnivora, Herpestidae. The record is from Ensembl.
CUCCAGUGAACCCUCUCUGUGCUGAGUAGGCCAGUUCUCUGCUGUUAACACUCGGUGAUACACAGUUUGAGACUUUGGUUCUCAGUGUUGGUACCUGUCGAUCUAGUCUUGUCUCAGGAAGCCGAGCUUCCCGCUCGCCCGCACUCCGCGCUGUACUGAGCCGGCUCUGUGAACAGAGCCCUAUCGUAAGAAGCUGAGGUUAGGCCAGAGGCUCACUAAGUCCCCCAGGACUGACUUCCCAGCCUCCGGCAGCUCCUCUCCAGGGGGCGGGGCCUGCUUUUAGUUUUCUUGGUGGAAUCUAGUCUUGUCAUCUGAUUCUUAGUGUUCAUUUGUGAACACUACCUUAUUCAUUUGUGAUUUUUCAACAGAGCAACUCCCCUCUCAAAUCUUGAGACAUGGAGGGAACCCCCUCAUCGUACCCCCCACCUCUAUACUGGGAAGAAAAUUUGUGCGUUUAACUUUUCUGUGCUGGGAUCUGUAGAAAAUACAGGAUCAGGGAUGCCUGGAUCUGACAGGCUCCCUGUGUGAUCCCAGAAAGAAAGAAUAAUUUAACAAAUUACAUUUUUUCAUUUAUUUUAUUGUGAAAAGAAUGCAUUUUUUUACUCCAAUAACACAGAUGUACGUAAAGGAAGUGGUGAGAGCCUCCUCUUACAAAAUGUAGCCAUUUUUAUUGAAUUGUUUUCUAUCCUUAAACAUCUCUUAUGUGUAGGCAAACCGCAAAUAUACAAAGUGUAUAAAGAAUAUAUAUUCCUAUACAGAUCCUUUAUUUUUUUCCCCCACAAAUAUUAUCCCAUACACAUUUUGUAGCACCUUGUGUUUUUGCUUAACGUAACAUGGAUGUCUUUCCAUAACAGGUUACCUGUUAAACAUUGCUCCUACUUCCUGAUGCAUUUCAUUCCUGAUACAUUCCGGAUCAUAUACAUUUCAUGAAACAAUGCAAAUCUCAACGUUCUCCCACAUAGGGGAGUGGCUCCAAACUCCAAGCCGGAGGAAAAUGGCUGUGAGGCUCUACAUGAUUCAAAUGGCUGUAGACGUGAACCAGGAAGGGCUGCCGCCACCACCGCCGCCGCCGCCGCCGCCGCCCACAGAAGCUGACCCAGGUGCUUGUUUGUUAAACCAGCUGGAGCAAACCGGAAUCGAAGGAUACUUGGCAGAGAGAGCGUCUGGGCUGUCGGCAUCCCCAUGGAGCUCCGGCGCCCCUCGCUCCCAGCUCAGCGCGUGGCCGCUAAGCCCCCUGCGGAGCCCGGGCGCCCAGAGCCUCCCACCUGCGGAGAAAGGUCCCAGUGCCAGCAGCUCCCAAACGUUGCUGGAAACUGGAGAGAAGACAGAGGGCUCAAACUGAUCCCCAAGCAAGCGAGCGUUGUGCAGUGCGUGCGAGGAGCGCGGUCUCAGCCAGAUCCAAGGUCAGGGUAAGCGACCCUGACGUUAACCUGAGCAGUUUAAACGCAGGGACAUAUAUCCCUUUUCUGUUUCCCAUUUUCUCCCCUCCCGGAGGGGGAAAACGGCAGGUCAAUCUCUCCACGUCUACACCCCACGGUCGUGUGGGCGGAGAACACCUCCCACGGUGGCAAGCCUGGAAUUCUUUCAUAAUGAAACCUGCGCUGCCCCUACUGUUCAUAGGGGCAUCUAAAACCACUGCCGAAACCCGGGAUCGAACCAGGGACCUUUAGAUCUUCAGUCUAACGCUCUCCCAACUGAGCUAUUUCGGCAGCUUAUAAGAGUUACUUUCUGCAUUUCUGUAAUGAAAUAGUAUGUGUUCUGUCCUAACAGAAGAGGCCAGAACAGGUUCAGCUGGAAGUAAGCAUCUAGCAAAUGUUAUAGAGUUGACAAAGCACAGUCUCUAUGUAUAAGCUAGAAAUGACAAGUAAUUUUACUUUUCUCAGUUGUUUGGACUCAAGAAAUAUAUGGAACUGAACAGGACGGCCACGUGUAAAAUGUGGCUUUUCAGUGUCACCUCCACAUGAGGUAUGCGUAGAGUCGUGGCAUCUGUAUAUUAAAGGCUUUGACUUGCCAAACUUAAAUCGUGAAAAUAUGCCUCCAUUUUUGUAACC